Molecule: ribosomal RNA, 385 nt
Filed under: uncultured bacterium
Lineage: Bacteria
Description: bacterial SSU rRNA
Rfam family: Bacterial small subunit ribosomal RNA
Source: RNAcentral
AAUGGGGGAAACCCUGAUGCAGCAACGCCGCGUGAGUGAUGAAGGUCUUCGGAUCGUAAAGCUCUGUCUUCAGGGACGAUAAUGACGGUACCUGAGGAGGAAGCCACGGCUAACUACGUGCCAGCAGCCGCGGUAAUACGUAGGUGGCGAGCGUUGUCCGGAUUUACUGGGCGUAAAGGGAGCGUAGGCGGAUUUUUAAGUGAGAUGUGAAAUACCCGGGCUCAACUUGGGUGCUGCAUUUCAAACUGGAAGUCUAGAGUGCAGGAGAGGAGAGUGGAAUUCCUAGUGUAGCGGUGAAAUGCGUAGAGAUUAGGAAGAACACCAGUGGCGAAGGCGACUCUCUGGACUGUAACUGACGCUGAGGCUCGAAAGCGUGGGGAGCAAA